This 467-nucleotide ribosomal RNA is filed under the name uncultured bacterium. RNAcentral describes it as "partial 16S ribosomal RNA". It matches the Rfam family "Bacterial small subunit ribosomal RNA", at positions 28 to 507 of the family's 1533-position model. The record is from RNAcentral.
GACGAACGCUGGCGGCGUGCUUAACCAUUCAAAUUGAACGGGAAGGCCCCGCUUUUGUGGGGUUCCCGAGUGGCGAACCGGUGAGGAACCACGUAGUUACCUUGCCUUUACCUUGGGGUAAACUCCGGGAACUGGGGCCAAUUCCCGAUAGGAGCUCCCUCUUCCUUGGUGGGGUUUGAAAGGUUCGGCGGUUGGGGAUGGACUCGCGGCUUAUCAGCUUGUUGGUUGGGUAGUGGCUUACCAAGGCUUUGACGGGUAGCCGGCCUGAGAGGGUGACCGGCCACAUUGGGACUGAGAUACGGCCCAGACUCCUAAGGGAGGCAGCAGUGGGGAAUAUUGCACAAUGGGCGGAAGCCUGAUGCAGCAACGCCGCGUGCGGGAUGACGGCCUUCGGGUUGUAAACCGCUUUCGCCUGUGACGAAGCGUGAGUGACGGUAAUGGGUAAAGAAGCACCGGCUAACUAUGUG